This 18-nucleotide small nuclear RNA is filed under the name Arabidopsis thaliana (thale cress). RNAcentral's name for it is "snRNA_13423". The record is from RNAcentral. Lineage: Eukaryota; Viridiplantae; Streptophyta; Magnoliopsida; Brassicales; Brassicaceae.
CGGUCUUGGCUCAACCCG